UAGCAAUGUGCCGGAACAUCCUUCGGGG
This 28-nucleotide small RNA is filed under the name Bombyx mori (domestic silkworm). RNAcentral describes it as "ovarian small RNA-22229". The record is from RNAcentral. Lineage: Eukaryota; Metazoa; Arthropoda; Insecta; Lepidoptera; Bombycidae.